This 611-nucleotide ribosomal RNA is filed under the name Bacillus licheniformis. Its description in RNAcentral is "bacterial SSU rRNA". It matches the Rfam family "Bacterial small subunit ribosomal RNA", at positions 363 to 965 of the family's 1533-position model. The record is from RNAcentral. Lineage: Bacteria; Bacillati; Bacillota; Bacilli; Caryophanales; Bacillaceae.
CUUCCGCAAUGGACGAAAGUCUGACGGAGCACGCCGCGUGAGUGAUGAAGGUUUUCGGAUCGUAAAACUCUGUUGUUAGGGAAGAACAAGUACCGUUCGAAUAGGGCGGUACCUUGACGGUACCUAACCAGAAAGCCACGGCUAACUACGUGCCAGCAGCCGCGGUAAUACGUAGGUGGCAAGCGUUGUCCGGAAUUAUUGGGCGUAAAGCGCGCGCAGGCGGUUUCUUAAGUCUGAUGUGAAAGCCCCCGGCUCAACCGGGGAGGGUCAUUGGAAACUGGGGAACUUGAGUGCAGAAGAGGAGAGUGGAAUUCCACGUGUAGCGGUGAAAUGCGUAGAGAUGUGGAGGAACACCAGUGGCGAAGGCGACUCUCUGGUCUGUAACUGACGCUGAGGCGCGAAAGCGUGGGGAGCGAACAGGAUUAGAUACCCUGGUAGUCCACGCCGUAAACGAUGAGUGCUAAGUGUUAGAGGGUUUCCGCCCUUUAGUGCUGCAGCAAACGCAUUAAGCACUCCGCCUGGGGAGUACGGUCGCAAGACUGAAACUCAAAGGAAUUGACGGGGGCCCGCACAAGCGGUGGAGCAUGUGGUUUAAUUCGAAGCAACGCGAA